AUAGUUGACCUUUAUAUACUGCACCUAAAUUAGCUAUUGUUUGAAAAAAGAUCUAGGUGUGAACGCUGUCCGGGAUCCUUGAGGUCCUUAGAGAAUUUUUACACACCUAGACAUGAUGAACUUUGGCAUUUGAGGCUAUUGGAGACUUGGAAGUCAUUAGGGCCUACUGUAGGCUCUCUAUAAAUUAACUCAUGCUCAUUCAUGUACUUUUAUUUAAUUUAUUGGUCUAUAAUAAUUAUUAUAAACAACAUUGGGGUAAUUAGUUAAAAUAGGUGGCAAGUGAUAUAUGUUGAGUAAAUCGGGUAGAUACCAUACCUAUAGGGUGUUGUUAAUUCAAAUGCAUUUGCUAUGUUUGCUUUACUUUCAUAGUAUUAGAAACCAUGCCUAUAGGAUCUAAAUGACUUUAAUAAUAGAAAGCACGCCUAUAAGGUUAAAAUUAGCUUUAUAUUUAGAUAUCAUGCCUAUAAAGAUAAUGUAAUUGAAGUUCAGUUUUUGUUACAACAUGUAUUCACCUUCUUCUUCUUCUUCUUCUUCUUCUUCUUCUUCUUCUUCUUCUUCUUCUUCUUCUUAUUCUCAGAUAUCAUGCAUAUAAGUUCAAUAGUCGGCUUUAAUAACUAGAUACCAUGCCUAUACAGAUUAAAAUCAUCUCUAAUAACUAGAUACCAUGCCUAUAGAGAUUAAAAUUAGCUCUAAUAGAAAUCAUGCGUAUAGAACUUAAAAUCAGUUAAGUUAAAUAAAUAGUUUAAUUCACGUUUGCUUUCUCUGAAUUGGAUUAAUCAAUUAAUAUGUAUCCUCUUUAAUAAGUUUUAAAACGUUGCCUUAAAUUAAUACUGCUAGAAAAGAGGAUCUUAAAUUGUCUGUUUAAAAUUGCUCACUAUCUUACCCCAUUCCUAGUCAAUAUAGAUACUAUGCUUUUAGGACGUCACUAUUAUGCUUUAGGCAAGCCUCUAGGACGAUUUACAUUCAGUAACUAUAAAAUUGUGCUUUGUUAUUUGAUACUGUUCAGAUCAGAUUUAACAGGUUUAAAAUUAGUAGGCAAGCUAAAUAGGUCUUCGACUUUGUCCUAAUUCAAUACUGUAUAAUCCGCGCUCGCUUAGAUAUCAUGUUCUAGGAUUUUCUUUUAAAUACCUGACUGUUGAUUGAAGACGUGCAUUUAUUUGUUAUAUUUGUGGAGGUGACUACGAGCCUGUAAUUUGUUCUCUUUAAAUGCAGUCCUACCUGUUCUUGAUUGAUGCCUAGACUUUUAUCCUUUAAAACCUUAGUAUGGAAAAGUAGAGGUCCUAAAUACCUCUAAGGCUAUGAGAAAGGGAUGAGUAGUGAACGCAUAGGACAUUUUCAAGGUUGCUAGAUCGCUUUAGGCUAUGACAAAAGGAAGAAAAUUGGGUAGUAAGGAUAUGAUGACUACGCGCUAAUGUCAUGUGUAGCCCCUCAUUGAGGAGUGCUUACCAGGCAUUGCAUAGGGUG
This 1464-nucleotide long non-coding RNA is filed under the name Nicotiana benthamiana. Its description in RNAcentral is "long non-coding RNA (NBEN_LNC031643)". Lineage: Eukaryota; Viridiplantae; Streptophyta; Magnoliopsida; Solanales; Solanaceae. The record is from RNAcentral.